Long non-coding RNA from Salvelinus sp. IW2-2015, 2476 nucleotides. RefSeq lists it as uncharacterized. The record is from RefSeq and is a predicted model, not a curated record. NCBI's taxonomy places the organism in Eukaryota, Metazoa, Chordata, Actinopteri, Salmoniformes, Salmonidae.
UUUCGGUUACUCUAUGAAUCUCUAGAUAAGUCUAUUAUAGAAGACAGAAGACAUCGAUCACGUGGUUUACAAGAAAUAAGCCGGUUGCUGGCUUGAUCUAUUUCCACAAUUCCCCGGCACGUGUAAAUAUCAUACUUCAAUUCGUUUGAGUGCCUUGUUGUAUUAUAGUUUUGCAAAAUUAUUUUCUAUUUUUAUUAAUUGAGCUUUUAUUUGUGUGCUGUUUUAUUCACUUAAAUGCAUUGUGGGUAGUGAACCUGAAAUUAAGCAUUUUGUUGCACUGUGUACUCCCAUCAUGCGUAGGCUAUAUGACAAAUACACUAACUAAUAACAAAAGUUCACAGUUCCACAGAAACCAUAGCUCUUCUCAUAAGGGCUAUAUUGAAAUGUCUCGAUAUGGUUUUGGUUUCGCUCUGUGGGCGCUGUAGGUGUUAUCGAGACUGCUACAUAAGGAGCCGCAAGAGACACGAUAACAGAAACACGUCCCUCGCUCUACUGCUGCGGUCAAAACAAAACUGACUGCAGUUGGUCCAGCGGAUGAUGAAAGAGGAGAGGUUUGAUAAUCCCAUUUACAGCAGCUGCAAUGGUCCAAUGGGCUCCACCGAAGGAGACCGGGAAUCCUUACGGACACCGUGCAACCGAACUCACCUCUCAGGUUCUACAUGCUUAAGAAGAACACAUAUACUACUGCUGUGUGUGUCGUAGUGGGGUGUACUGUGGCUGUCAUAAGUCUGUUUGCCCGAGAACACAUCAAUUGGCACAGAGACAGCAGUCAAAUAAUGAAACCUGUUUGGCAGAGAGAGAAGAGAUCAAGACUCUGAAAUCAGAGAACUACMGCGUUCUACUAAAUAUGAUUUUAAAGCAGGAAGGAUGGAAGCAUAUAAACUCCAGUCUGUACUACAUCUCUACUGAGAUGAAGUCCUGGGAUGAGAGCAGACUUACUGCCAAAGGAAGGGAUUGGACCUGGUGAUCAUAACAGCGAAGAGGAACAGGCCUUUCUCCUUGAAGUGGUCAGUGCAAAGAAAUUGGAGGGAGUCUGGAUUGGUUUUCUCUCCUAACAACACAAAGGAGAUAUCAACAACGGUAAGAGAUUUCACCAUCGAUGGAGAAGUAUGAACGGAGAUUUGAACAUUUAGGGCAUGAAGGAAUCCAACAAUGUUUCUGAUAAUUCCUGUUCUUCUGAUAGGGUGAAGAGAGGUGCGGGGUCAAAAGGCGGACAGGAAGAGGACUGUGCUAAGCUUACGGUCUAUGAGACACCUGCAGUGAGAAGAAGUAACUGGUCGACAAUGUGGGACACAAAAAUACUGGUAUUUGUGAAAAAUACCUGAUGUCAAUACCAUGUAAGCAAGAGAAAACGUGAACUUGUUCUUGUGAAAGGAUUAUACUUGGUUUUAAUGGAGGGAACAACUGCUAGAUUCAACUCCUCUUGCUGUGACAUCCCACAAACACCUAGGGCCAUUCACCCCCCUCCAUGUUGUCUCAACUGUGCUCUUGCUUCGUGCACCGUCUCCUCAGUCACCUAGGUGAGGAGUUGAGCCCCUCUCAUUUUCCAAGAAGCAGCUGUUAGUCAUUCCAGUUAGCCUGGUGAGGGUUGUACCUGAAAUACACAUCUGCACCUUAUAGUAAGAAAGUUCAAAGGGGAGUUUUUCUGUGGUUGGGACCCCCCUGCAUUGUUCCAAUACGCAAAAGCACUUUCAGUCAAUAAGCUUUCUCAGUGAGAGCCUCGGAUUUUAGCCAGCCAGUUUUCAACUGAAGUCAAUGGGCAGAUUGAUUUUAAUUUUUUUUUAACAUUUUUUUAAUGAACAUAAAUAUUUCACAUGAUUUCACGUAAAAACAACAUUUAGUAAAACAUUGUUUUAGAUGAGGAGGCUGAUUGUCCUUCAGAAACUCAAGUCGCGGUAAAGGAGUGACAGGUUACACAGCUCCGAAGGACAAUCCGCCUCCAUCUAUACACAAUGUUUGACUAAAUGUUGUUUUUUGUUUACAUGAAAUGUAAAACAAAAUAUAUUUUUUUAAAUCAAUCUGCCCAUUGACUUCAGUUGAAAAGAGCUAACUGGCUAAAUCUGGCACACAAAAGCAAUGUUGAUUCAUGUUAAAUUAAAUGAAAUGUAGUUUGUGCUACAAGGGUAGGAAACCCUGGCGGGUGCAUUUAGCCAAUCACAGGGCUGAGAUAUAUUCUAUUAGUCCCUGUUAUAUUCCAGGCACAGGGUUACCUACCCCUGUUCUAUGUACAGAAGAGAAUGUGCAAUAUUAUAAAGGAAUACCAGUUUUAUUUUUUUACAUUUUUCAUAUAGUAAAUAAAAAUCCUUUAUUCUAAUUCUUUACGAUACUAUUGUCCCGUGACACCAAAAGUCUGAAUGUGAUUUAAUAUUGGGGCGGCAGGKAACCUAGUGGUUGGACUAGGAACUGAAAGGUUGCUAGAUUGAAUCCCCGAGCUGACAAGGUACAAAUCUGUCGUUCUGCCCCUGGACAAGGCAGU